This is a long non-coding RNA of Anolis carolinensis (green anole), 4836 nucleotides long. RefSeq lists it as uncharacterized. The record is from RefSeq and is a predicted model, not a curated record. NCBI's taxonomy places the organism in Eukaryota, Metazoa, Chordata, Lepidosauria, Squamata, Anolidae. The transcript has 2 exons.
CAGUCAUGGUGGGACUAACCAAGGCUGGAAUGGCACCAGCUCUGCAGAGUAGCCAGCUGGGACUAUUUGAGAUUCCUCCUGGGCUAUGAGGUCACAAUGGGUGCCUAGCAACCAGGCAAACCCAUCAAGUCCCACCCAAGAGAUCAAUCAUCCAGCCUACAAUAACAAAGUACUAGAUUCAUUUGGACCACACAAUCCACCAGUGACACAUAAGCAAGGCCACAAGAUCCAUUUACAACGAAGUAGAGUGCAAAGUAAUGCGAUCCUCAGGACUCAAAGCAUUUAGAAUCUGGAAUGGACUAAACUCUUACCUUCUGCCACUCUACUCAGAAAAAGGGUUUCCAUGGCUGAACAAGAAUUUACUAGAGAACAAAUUGUACUAGAUGGCUACCUGAAAAUGAUUUCAAAAGCCCUCAAAAGUCACCAGUUCUGAGAUACGUCUCUUCUCUUGACAAGUGGAAGCAAGGGACAAUGGCUUUGACUGUACACCUCAAAUGAAUGGGGCCUUUUAACAGAAACAUUCCUUCACCUCUGCUUAAAGAAUGUCAAGAUAUUAUAUAUGACCAAGAAUUAGUGAUUCCAGCCACCUCUCGGUUUCAUAUUGUUUUGCAAUAACUACAAUUAUUUUUAUACCACUUGCUCUUAUAAUAAAACUAGAAAUGUUCCAAAUAAUCUAAAGAGAAGGGUCAUAAUGGAACUUCAAAUGUCUCUCCUCAAAAUUCACAUUAACCUACAAAUGAGUUAGGGCUCUUUAUUUUAGUUCCACAGAAAUGCCAUCUUCUCAGAGACGCAACUUAUGUUCAGAUACAUAAGUUCAGAGGCACAAAGUGCAGAGACAGCCUGAAGUGUGUCUUAGGUGUAAUGAUGAGAAAGAUUUUUAAGCUUUUAAAAAGGCAUUUUAAUUUCUGUACAUAAAGUGGUUUUUAAACUAGUUUAGCAUUACAUAAAGCCAUGGUUGUACAAGGGCUACACACCCAACCAAAAUCUCUUAUUUAUUCAAUGCCAAUUUUAAGUCACAAUACCCACGCACCCGAACAUCUUAUUCUAGGGACCUCAUCACACUAGAGCUUGGAUCCACUUUAAAUCCAUGUUUGGGAGGAGCCUUUAAACAGAUUAGCCAAAUAGCUCCUGGUCUCACCAAACAACAAACUCCAGAAUUCUGCAGGAGGCAGAAACCGGAUUUGAAGUCGAUCCAUGCUCUGGUGAGAUGAGGCACUAUAAAACAACUCACCAUACCCCCAUUUAAAUCACAAAAAGAAAAAAAAAUAAGCCAUACAAUGCAGUAUAAAAGAUUGACAAUAUCAUCAAGUUUAUUACACAGUUUGCAACCUAUCAGAAAAAGACAAACAAAUUAAAUCACAAAGAACAGGGGUGGAAGAGUCAAAGGGAAAACAAGGCUAUGUUUCUGUCAUUCGUUUCUUUUCUUUUUUUACUUCCAUUAUUUCAAAACAAACUAAAAAAGUCCCAUUUUGUAAAAAGCAACAUUUCCAAUCCAAAUCUUAUCCUUUACAGUUUAAGUUGCCACUCCAUUUUUCUACAUUUACUUUUUUCCUUUAAAAAAUUGAGCUGAAUACCUCUCAAAAGUACAAAAGGAGGUAUUGCAUUACAUUGUGACAUCCUUUGAUUGACACCAUCCAUCCUUAUUUAGGCCACACAACCUCUGUGACACAAGACAGGAUCCUUUUAUGAGGGGGUUUCACCAUGCAGCUGGACAAUCAUGAAUGUAAUAGUUGUGUGGCCAUGUCAGCAAUCCAGGUGCUGGAAGCUACUUAUUCCAGGAUACAGUGUGUUAUCGUAAGCUACUCAGUCUAGGAUGGAGCACGGAAAACAACCCCAUCCUCAAGGGUUUCAUUUCAGAGAUGAAUUUGACCAAAACUCUGUAGCCAUUUCUUUUCCAUAAUACUCCUUAUGUAGAUGUUGAUGGCACUGGCCUGAAGAUGUUGCUGACUCAAAAGCCCUAGCAAUGCCUCUGUCAGUUACACAAAGGUGAUGUGAACUGAGGCUUUUCACUGUCUCAAACUGUAGACUGGGAUGCCAGAAAUCAGUGAGGUAUGCUGCUGCCUGAAGCAAAUUCAUGGAUGAACCCCCUCCAUAGUGAAUUAAAUGUAAAAUGAGGAUGGUGUGUGAGGAAACUUCUGGACCUUAAAUCAACACAUACAUCACACUGAAUUUAAAACUGCUCAGGGUGUACUGUAAGGGAGAACUUCAAGAAAACCCCUCAGUUUGACUUAGACCCCAUUCCACGCUACUGCGUUGGUCAGGUCUCAAUUCACAGCACUUCCUUUGGAACAAGGAAGGUGACACUCUGGGAGGGGUGGUGCCUGGAAACAAGAGGGUUAAGGGAGAAGUUGCAACCAGAGCAGCUACAGUAUAAAACAAAAUAAGGAAUCUAUUAGCAAAUCAUCUGUGGAUAGUGAGUGGACCUGCAUUAGCCAGAGUUCAAUCUAUCUCUUAAGGGAAACUCCACACUGUGAGCAGUUUGACUAACACAGGCCCCUCUACAGGCAGCUAGGUGCCUUGGUUCAGGGACUAAGUGGGGAAAGGAGGCAAGAGAGGUGACUAGAAGCAGCAACCAGCCCACCCUCCAUCCCAGAAGAAAGAGAGGGAGGAAAUACUAUUGUGUCUAAGCUGUAGACAAUGGUGCUAGGGGACAAGACUGAAAGCUGUUUUGGGAAAAAGUUGAGACUUUAGGAGGACUGGAUGCCUUGGUGCCUGAGAAGACAACACAGUGCGGACUGUGGACACAAGCCCCAGUGAGACAAUGGGCAUACAUCUUGUGCUGUGCAGAAGCACCACAUUCUUCCUAUAGAAGAUAAGCCGGAUGGAUUCCUCCUCAACUGCUCUGAGAGAAGAUAUGGUAAGGGAAGAGGCAGGAGACCUCUGUGGGAAGCACCAUUCUUCUUAGGUCCAAGAAUCCAUGGACUGAAGUGGCCCCCUGGUCACAGUGGCUCAGGCAAACUCCCCUCUCAAAGUCCCAAGUCAUUUGAGUUUCUCCAUCAAGCAGCAGCACAGAGAGGGAGGGCUUGGUGCCACAAGAUGGAGUUCUACAGGCGAAGUCACUUCCAAGGGGUCCAGAAAGAGCAGAGGGCAGUGGGGAGGAGUGGGUGGAGAAGCCGCCACCCUUUAAGUCUUGAUUAAGGAGAGGAGAUAACGAGUCCAUAAAAACACCGAAUGCUUCCGAAGCUCCUAAAAAGACAACACAAAGUAGGAAAAAAGAGUAACUUCUAUUGCCCAGUUAAAGACCAUUAUUUAGAAAGGACAAAAGUCUUGGCUAAACCUCGGGACGUCAGCUGAUAUUUCUAAAGGAAAGAAGAGGCAUUCUUUUGUUCGUGGUUAGGGUUCAAAUCCAGGCUCAAUCAUUCAAGCAUACUAAAUAUUAAAAUAUUGCUUUCCCUCAACUGAGCACUCGCCUUUAGCAUAUAGUGGGGGGGGGGAAGUAUUUAGUCAGAUACCACCACCAUAAUUUGCAAAUAAAUUCAUGAAAAAUCAAACAAUGUGAUUUUCUGGAUGUGUUUUCUCAUGUUGUCUCUCAUAGUUGAGGUCUACCUAUGUUAAUCACAGGCCUCUCUAAUCUUGUUAAGUGGGAGAACUUGUACAAUUGGUAUCUGAAUACUACCCCCCCCCCCCCCCCGCACUGUAUAUCACAACAUCUGUUUCCAACCUACAGAAUAAACCUAUUUGUCACAAUAACAAAGGCGAACAAACAAAUUAUGGUGAAUGUUAUGAUUGAGCCUCAUGGCUCUGUUACUGACAGACGUGGGCGUAAGACUCCUCGAGAGUCAGAUACUCUCGAGGAGCGAGAAAGAAAAAGACUGCGAGACAUUUUUGCAGCACCAUCUGACGAAGAGUCUUUUGAGGGGUUUACGGAGAGAAUGGAGGAGGGGCUGGUUAGCUCGGAGGAGGAUGAGAUGGAUUGGACUCGGGUAAGGGAGGAAUUGGGUGCCACUGGUCAUGAUGGGAUAGAAGAUGAAUGGGGACCUUCAGGAUUAGACCCAUGGCUUAGCUGGAGGGAUGGGACGGGAUCCACAGCUGGAGAUGCUGUGGGGCGUAGUCAGAGGUGUUCCAGCUCUGAUGAGGAAAGUGAUGAGGAAACGCCCGGGUUAAGGAGGACAGCUGACAGUGAUGAGGAUUUGUAACUGGCAUAAAAUGGGGCUUGGGAGCAAUUGCAAAUUGCGUUGGGCAAGGUAAUCUGGACGAACGCUUGGGAUCUGUGUGGGACGCUUUCCUGAAGACUGGUGUGUUUUCCUGUGCUGAGACGUAAGUUGUUUUGGAAUUCAGGGUCAGACGGCGGGAGGAAUUGUGUGGGCAUUUGUUUGUGCAAACCUGUGCUUACUCUUAUUAGCUUGACCUUCCGUCGUCUUCUUGACGAACGCCAUCUCCUGUUUUGAAAACUCGGACUGAACUGACCACGGCUUGUCUUCCCCCCUUCUUGGACUUGGAAUCUACAAACGUCUGCUUCUGGCUUUGAACUACGGAAAGGAACUGGGUCUACUCUACUGCUACAAUCCUUGGCUGAUCUGUUCGUGUUGGAAAUCCUGUCUGCUGUGUGUGUGGGAGCGACGCAAGUUACUCUAAGCACAGUGUUGGCAGCAGAGAGGAAUCUGCUGCCAAUUAGUUGCAUUCUUUUGUAUCUUUUGUUCCUCGGCUUUUGUUUUGUUUAUCCCCAGGCUGAAGCAAGCAGUUUGUUUUUACCCGGAUUAAACUCCGGUUUAAUCCGGUUUAUCUUUUGAACGUUUUUCCUUGCCCCUUUUUGCUCCUAAAGGCUAAUACUGCCUGGCCCUUGUAUUUUACGGGCAUUUUUGAGUUCUGUAAUCCAAUAAACUCUGUUAUCUUGAA